This 253-nucleotide ribosomal RNA is filed under the name uncultured bacterium. RNAcentral describes it as "partial 16S ribosomal RNA". It matches the Rfam family "Bacterial small subunit ribosomal RNA", at positions 524 to 776 of the family's 1533-position model. The record is from RNAcentral.
UACGGGGGGGGCAAGCGUUGUUCGGAAUUACUGGGCGUAAAGGGCUCGUAGGCGGCCAACUAAGUCGGAUGUGAAAUCCCCAGGCUCAACCUGGGGACUGCAUUUGAUACUGCUUGGCUUGAAUUCGGGAGAGGAUAGCGGAAUUCCCAGUGUAGAGGUGAAAUUCGUAGAUAUUGGGAAGAACACCGGUGGCGAAGGCGGCUAUCUGGACCGACAUUGACGCUGAGGCGCGAAAGCGUGGGGAGCAAACAGG